UGAAACCGUUCAGGGGUAAACCUGAGAAACCCGAAAGGUCGAACGGGGAGAUUCACCGCGGCUCGCGGUAGAGGCUCGGCGCUCGUGCGACUGACGGCCCCCGGGUCGCCUGCGCCUUGCGCCCCGUUCCGUCGACUGCGAACGCGUGCACUUCUCCCCUAGUAGGACGUCGCGAUCCGUUGGGCGCCGGUCUAAGGACCGCGGAGGAGACCGGACGGAACGUUCUGCGUUCGCCGUCCGGACCCGCGGAUCCCCGGCCGGCUCGCUCGACGGUAGCCGUGAGGCGCUGGGCCGCGACUUCAGCUCGCGUCCGGCCCGCAGCAAGCGCGCCGUGCGAUCCGGCGAUCGGACUCUGUGCCGAUUCCGGUCCUCGGUGGCUGUUCGCCGCGGUGUUCUCGGACAGACCCAGUUGAAACGCCGAUCUGCGACGACGAAGCUUUGGGUACUUUCAGGACCCGUCUUGAA
RNAcentral lists this ribosomal RNA (465 nucleotides) under Collops sp. CND669. RNAcentral's name for it is "eukaryotic LSU rRNA". Lineage: Eukaryota; Metazoa; Arthropoda; Insecta; Coleoptera; Melyridae. The record is from RNAcentral.